Oncorhynchus keta (chum salmon) is the source of this 333-nucleotide long non-coding RNA. RefSeq lists it as uncharacterized. The record is from RefSeq and is a predicted model, not a curated record. The transcript has 3 exons. Lineage: Eukaryota; Metazoa; Chordata; Actinopteri; Salmoniformes; Salmonidae.
GAACUCCCCUCACCUGGUUGUCUAGGUCUCAGUAAGGAACUCCCCUCACCUGGUUGUCUAGGUCUCAGUAAGGAACUCCCCUCACCUGGUUGUCUAGGUCUCAGUAAGGAACUCCCCUCACCUGGUUGUCUAGGUCUCAGUAAGGAACUCCCCUCACCUGGUUGUCUAGGUCUCAGUAAGGAACUCCCCUCACCUGGUUGUCUAGGUCUCAGUAAGGAACUCCCCUCACCUGGUUGUCUAGGUCUCAGUAAGGAACUCCCCUCACCUGGUUGUCUAGGUCUCAGUAAGGAACUCCCCUCACCUGGUUGUCUAAGUCUCCGUAAGGAACUCCCC